UCCCUCGUGGCGCAAUUGGCUAGCGCGUUCGACUGUUAUAUAACAGUUCCAUCGAGAGGUUGGUGGUUCGAGCCCACCCGAGGGAG
This 86-nucleotide transfer RNA is filed under the name Cadophora sp. DSE1049. It matches the Rfam family "tRNA". Rfam says of the family: Transfer RNA (tRNA) molecules are approximately 80 nucleotides in length. Their secondary structure includes four short double-helical elements and three loops (D, anti-codon, and T loops). Lineage: Eukaryota; Fungi; Ascomycota; Leotiomycetes; Helotiales; Ploettnerulaceae. The record is from Rfam by way of RNAcentral.